AAAACUUUGAGUUUGAUGGUGGCUCUGAGUGAACGCUGUCCAAAUGCUUGACACAUGCUAAUCGAACGUCUAAUUUUAUUCAAAUUUAAUUAGAAGUGGUGUACAGGUGAGUAACUGAUAAUCUAGCUACCUUAAAGUAAGGAGAAAAUCCCUUAUAAAAAAAAAAAAGAAAUAAAAAAAAAAAUUUCGCUAUAAGAUGUUAGAACUUAUCCUGAAAGAGUAUUAGUUUAAACUAGCUCGUUUCAGUAGUCGAGACUGAGAGGUCGAUCGACCACACUGGGUCUGAAAAAAGCCCAUGGCAGAAAGUACAGCAGUGGGGGAUAUUGGUCAAUAGCCUGACGGCUGAACCAGCAACUUGGAAGAAUGUAUAACGGAUGUGUCGUAUAAAAUUCUAGAUAGAAAACUGAUAAUGACAACUAUCUAUCUAUUAGUCUUGACCAAAUUACGUGCCAGCAGUCGCGGUAAUACGCAGAAGACAAGUGUUAUUCAUCUUUAAUCGGUUUAAAGGGUACCUAGACGGGAAAUCAAGCCAUAGUAGGGACUAAUUUUCUAGAGUUUUAUGGAUGAAAGUCGAAUGUCUGGAGUAGAGAUAAAAUAUUAUAAUACUAGAUGGACGGGCAACGGCGUAGGCAACUUUCUAUGUAAAAACUGACGUUGAGGGACGAAGCCCUAGGUAGCAAUAAGGAUUAGAUACCCUAGUAGUCCAGGGAGACAAUGAUGAGUGCCAUAGGCUAGAUAAAUUAGCAUAUAAAUGAAAGUGUAAGCAUUCCACCUCAAGACUAAAGCGGCAACGCCCAAAUUGAAAUCAUUAGACCGAUACUGAAACCAGUAGUGAAGUAUGUUACUUAAUUCGAUGAUCCGCGAAUAACCUUACCACGUUUUGAAUACUUUUUGUACGUGCUUUUAUCACCACAAAUUGUACAAGCGCUGCACGGCUGUCUUUAGUUAAUGUCGUGAGACUUUGGUUAACUCCUCUAAUUAACGAAAACCCUUGUUUUAUUUGUUUAUAAAACAGUUCUCUGGUACAACGGAUAAGAUAAUAGGGAUUAAGGCAAGUCAUCAUGGCCAUAAUAGCGUGGGCUGUCGACGUGCCACAUAUGCCUUUACAAAAGGAUGCGAUAUUGUGAAAUGGAGCUAAUCCCCAAAAAAGGACAUAACUAAUCGUGAAUUGUAGUCUGAAACUCGACUACAUGAAUAAGUAAUUACUAGUAAUCGUGUAUCAUUACGGCACGGUGAAGCUUUUCUCAGUUAGGUACUAACUACUCGUCAGGCGCUGAAAGGAGUAUGUGCAAUAAGUUUGGUUGCUUUUUACCUUAUUUUAUAUAAAUAGUUAUACUUUAGUUUUAUAGUAACUUUCGUAUGUGUGACUUUAAUUGGGGUUAAGUCGAAAUAUGGUUCGUGUAACGGAAGUUGCACGGGAUGCAUUAUCAUU
This 1432-nucleotide ribosomal RNA is filed under the name Endocarpon pusillum Z07020. RNAcentral describes it as "Bacterial small subunit ribosomal RNA". It matches the Rfam family "Bacterial small subunit ribosomal RNA". Lineage: Eukaryota; Fungi; Ascomycota; Eurotiomycetes; Verrucariales; Verrucariaceae. The record is from Rfam by way of RNAcentral.